UAUAAAUUAUAUUCGCCCAGAUUGCGACCCGUAAGAGUGUCGCGUUCCGGAGGCAAAUGUUUCAGAAGUAAACGCCGAAACAGCUGAACGGAUUUUGAUGAAAUUUGGCACACAGGUGCAAUAAGUUAACAAAGUCUGCGCGGUGCUUUAAGAACAGAUAGCAAGCGUGUGAUAAUAAAAAACAAAACUGCUUUAAAUAUUUUGUAAUUCCGAACAACAAGAACGAACACUAAAUAAUUUCCAAUUAAAAUUAAAAAAUAAAACUACUAUAAA
Molecule: long non-coding RNA, 273 nt
Organism: Manduca sexta (tobacco hornworm)
Lineage: Eukaryota; Metazoa; Arthropoda; Insecta; Lepidoptera; Sphingidae
Exons: 2
Source: RefSeq, a predicted model, not a curated record